GAUGAACGCUGGCGGCGUGCCUAAUACAUGCAAGUCGAGCGAACAGAUGAGGAGCUUGCUCCUCUGACGUUAGCGGCGGACGGGUGAGUAACACGUGGAUAACCUACCUAUAAGACUGGGAUAACUUCGGGAAACCGGAGCUAAUACCGGAUAAUAUAUUGAACCGCAUGGUUCAAUAGUGAAAGACGGUUUUGCUGUCACUUAUAGAUGGAUCCGAGCCGCAUUAGCUAGUUGGUAAGGUAACGGCUUACCAAGGCAACGAUGCGUAGCCGACCUGAGAGAGUGAUCGGCCACACUGGAACUGAGACACGGUCCAGACUCCUACGGGAAGCAGCAGUAGGGAAUCUUACGCGAAGGGCGAAAGCCUGACGGAGCAACGACGCGUGAAUGAUGAAGGUCUUCGGAUCGUAAAACUCUGUUAUUAGGGAAGAACAAAUGUGUAAGUAACUAUGCACGUCUUGACGGUACCUAAACAGAAAGCCACGGCUAACUACGUG
This 497-nucleotide ribosomal RNA is filed under the name uncultured bacterium. RNAcentral describes it as "partial 16S ribosomal RNA". It matches the Rfam family "Bacterial small subunit ribosomal RNA", at positions 28 to 507 of the family's 1533-position model. The record is from RNAcentral.